RNAcentral lists this ribosomal RNA (431 nucleotides) under uncultured bacterium. RNAcentral describes it as "partial 16S ribosomal RNA". It matches the Rfam family "Bacterial small subunit ribosomal RNA", at positions 338 to 795 of the family's 1533-position model. The record is from RNAcentral.
CCUACGGGAGGCAGCAGUGAGGAAUAUUGCACAAUGGGCGAAAGCCUGAUGCAGCGACGCCGCGUGGGUGAAGAAGGUUUUCGGAUCGUAAAACCCUUUUCUGUGUGACACGGUAGCACAGGAAUAAGUCUCGGCUAACUACGUGCCAGCAGCCGCGGUAAAACGUAGGAGACAAACGUUAUCCGGAGUUACUGGGCGUAAAGGGCGUGUAGGUGGUUCUGUAAGUCUGGCGUGAAAUUUCUCGGCUUAACCGGGAAAGGUCGUCGGAUACUGCAAGGCUAGAGGAUGGUAGAGGCGUGUGGAAUUCCGGGUGUAGUGGUGAAAUGCGUAGAGAUCCGGAGGAACACCAGUGGCGAAGGCGACACGCUGGCCUACCUGACACUGAUGCGCGACAGCAUGGGGAGCAAACAGGAUUAGAUACCCUUGUAGUC